Molecule: transfer RNA, 62 nt
Filed under: Aporrectodea longa
Lineage: Eukaryota; Metazoa; Annelida; Clitellata; Crassiclitellata; Lumbricidae
Description: tRNA-Leu
Source: RNAcentral
AGUGAGUUGGCAGAAUAGUGCUACCGACUUAGGAUCGGCCCAUGGAUGAUAUCCACUCACUA